Molecule: ribosomal RNA, 546 nt
Filed under: uncultured bacterium
Lineage: Bacteria
Description: bacterial SSU rRNA
Rfam family: Bacterial small subunit ribosomal RNA
Source: RNAcentral
AGAGUUUGAUCCUGGCUCAGGAUGAACGCUGGCGGCGUGCCUAAUACAUGCAAGUCGAACGAAACUUCUUUAUCACCGAGUGCUUGCACUCACCGGUAAAGGGUUGAGUGGCGAACGGGUGAGUAACACGUGGGCAACCUGCCCAAAAGAGGGGGAUAACACUUGGAAACAGGUGCUAAUACCGCAUAACCAUAGUUACCGCAUGGUAGCUAUGUAAAAGGUGGCUAUGCUACCGCUUUUGGAUGGGCCCGCGGCGCAUUAGCUAGUUGGUGGGGUAAAGGCUUACCAAGGCAAUGAUGCGUAGCCGAACUGAGAGGUUGAUCGGCCACAUUGGGACUGAGACACGGCCCAGACUCCUACGGGAGGCAGCAGUAGGGAAUCUUCCACAAUGGGCGAAAGCCUGAUGGAGCAACGCCGCGUGGGUGAAGAAGGUCUUCGGAUCGUAAAACCCUGUUGUUAGAGAAGAAAGUGCGUGAGAGUAACUGUUCACGUUUCGACGGUAUCUAACCAGAAAGCCACGGCUAACUACGUGCCAGCAGCCGCGGU